Molecule: ribosomal RNA, 541 nt
Filed under: Cytospora sp. QY-1-S1-1-1
Lineage: Eukaryota; Fungi; Ascomycota; Sordariomycetes; Diaporthales; Cytosporaceae
Also listed under: 1 other name
Description: eukaryotic LSU rRNA
Rfam family: 5.8S ribosomal RNA (bases 171-324)
Source: RNAcentral
UCCGUAGGUGAACCUGCGGAAGGAUCAUUACCUAGAGUUGUAGGCUUUGCCUGCUAUCUCUUACCCAUGUCUUUUGAGUACCUUACGUUUCCUCGGCGGGUCCGCCCGCCGAUUGGACAAUUUAAACCAUUUGCAGUUGCAAUCAGCGUCUGAAAAAACUUAAUAGUUACAACUUUCAACAACGGAUCUCUUGGUUCUGGCAUCGAUGAAGAACGCAGCGAAAUGCGAUAAGUAGUGUGAAUUGCAGAAUUCAGUGAAUCAUCGAAUCUUUGAACGCACAUUGCGCCCCUUGGUAUUCCAUGGGGCAUGCCUGUUCGAGCGUCAUUUGUACCUUCAAGCUCUGCUUGGUGUUGGGUGUUUGUCUCGCCUCUGCGUGUAUACUCGCCUCAAAACAAUUGGCAGCCGGCGUAUUGAUUUCGGAGCGCAGUACAUCUCGCGCUUUGCACUCAUAACGACGACGUCCAAAAGUACAUUUUUACACUCUUGACCUCGGAUCAGGUAGGGAUACCCGCUGAACUUAAGCAUAUCAAUAAGCGGAGGA